This 342-nucleotide unclassified non-coding RNA is filed under the name soil metagenome. RNAcentral's name for it is "partial contains 5.8S ribosomal RNA, internal transcribed spacer 2, and large subunit ribosomal RNA". The stretch from base 1 to 120 matches the Rfam family "5.8S ribosomal RNA", at positions 35 to 154 of the family's 154-position model. The record is from RNAcentral.
GAUGAAGAACGUAGCGAAAUGCGAUAAGUAAUGUGAAUUGCAGAAUUCAGUGAAUCAUCGAAUCUUUGAACGCACAUUGCGCCCGCCAGCGCUCUGGCGGGCAUGCCUGUUCGAGCGUCAUUUCAACCAUCAAGCCCCCAGGGGCUUGUGCUGGGGCCCUGCGGCUGCCCGCAGGCCCUGAAAACCAGUGGCGGGCUCGCUAGUCACACCGAGCGCAGUAGCACAUCUCGCUCAGGGCGUGCGGCGGGCUCCUGCCGUGAAACCCCCCACUGUAACCCCAAAGGUUGACCUCGGAUCAGGUAGGAAUACCCGCUGAACUUAAGCAUAUCAAUAAGCGGAGGA